Molecule: ribosomal RNA, 996 nt
Filed under: Vitis vinifera (wine grape)
Lineage: Eukaryota; Viridiplantae; Streptophyta; Magnoliopsida; Vitales; Vitaceae
Description: Bacterial small subunit ribosomal RNA
Rfam family: Bacterial small subunit ribosomal RNA
Source: Rfam by way of RNAcentral
UUAUUGUAAAGUACCAAACGUACACGUAAAAGGACUUGUGCUAGUAUGACAAAAUGGAGGGUCUACAUAGGGCUUAACCCCGGAUAGGUGGUGGAAACCACCAAGUUGGAGUACAGUAGGGGCAUAGGGAAUUUUCGAUGGAGCGAUGAAAUGCGUAGAGAUCGAAAAGAAUACCAACAACGAAAGCACUCUGGUGUGUUGACACUAAAAUUGAGAGAUGAAAGCUAGGGGAGAAAAUGGGAUUAGAUACCCAAGUAGUCCUAGCCGUAAAUGAUGGAUACUAGGCAAUUUGCAUAUCGACCCAUACAAUUUUGUAGCUAAUGCGUUAGGUAUCUCGCCUGGGGAGUACAUUUGCAAAAAAGAAACUCAAAGGAUUAAAGGGAGCUAGCACAAGUGAUGGAGCAUGUGGUUUAUUUCGAUCCAAAGCGAAGAACCUUACAAAGGAUUGAUAUGUCGUGAAUCCUCUUGAAAGAUAAGGGUGCCUUCGGGAACGCGGACACAAAUGGUGCAUGGCUAUUGUCAGCUCAUGUCGUAAGGUGUCAAGUUAAGUCCCGCAACGAGCUCAACCCUCAUGUUUAGAUGCCACCAUUGAGUUUGGAACCUUGAGCAUAUUGUUGGUGAUAAACCGAAGGAAGGUGAGGAUGACGUCAAGUCAUCAUGCCUCUUAUGCCUUACGCAACACAUGUGUUACAAUGGUCGGGACAAAAAGUUUCGAUCCUGCGAGGGUGAGCUAACUCCAAAAACCUAUCCUCAAUUCAAAUUAUAGGUUGCAACUUGCCUAAAUGAAACCAAAAUCACUAGUAAUCGUCGGUCAACUAUAUGGUAGUGAAUUCAUUCCCGGGCCUUGUACACACCACCUGUCACACUAUAGGAGCUGGCCAUGCCCGAAGUCGUUACUUUAACCACAAUGAGGGGGAUGCCAAAGGCAAGGCUAGUGACUGGAGUAAAGUCGUAACAAGGUAGCCAUACUGGAAGGUGUGGUUGGAUACCUCAUUU